Molecule: small nucleolar RNA, 142 nt
Organism: Drosophila takahashii
Lineage: Eukaryota; Metazoa; Arthropoda; Insecta; Diptera; Drosophilidae
Source: RefSeq, a predicted model, not a curated record
UCAUUGGCUGGUUCGAAGACCACAAAACGUUUGCCAAAGUUGCGUGGUUCAAAAUCAACAAGCCAAAAGCAUUUUUUGUCACGACGGUCACUGAUUCGGCAGCUUAGAGUCGUUUCAGUAACUUUUACGUGCAAUGACAGUC